Astyanax mexicanus (Mexican tetra) is the source of this 2117-nucleotide long non-coding RNA. RefSeq lists it as uncharacterized. NCBI's taxonomy places the organism in Eukaryota, Metazoa, Chordata, Actinopteri, Characiformes, Acestrorhamphidae. The record is from RefSeq and is a predicted model, not a curated record. The transcript has 3 exons.
GCUAAGUGGUUCCUAGGCAGUUGCUAAUGUUUUCCAGGUGGUUGCUAAGUGGUUGCUAGGCAGUUGCUAACAUAUUCCAGGUGGUUGCUAGGCAGUUGCUAAGUGGUUGCUAGGCAGUUGCUAACGUUUUCCAAGUGGUUGCUAGGCAGUUGCUAAGUGGUUGCUAGGCAGUUGCUAACGUUUUCCAAGUGGUUGCUAGGCAGUUGCUAAGUGGUUGCUAGGCAGUUGCUAACAUUUUCCAGGUGGUUGCUAAGUGGUUGCUAGGUAGUUGCUAACAUAUUCCAGGUGGUUGCUAGGCAGCUGCUAAGUGGUUGCUAGGCAGUUGCUAACGUUUUCCAGGUGGUUGCUAAGUGGUUGCUAGGCAGUUGCUAACGUUUUCCAGGUGGCUGCUAGGCAGUUGCUAAGUGGUUGCUAGGCAGUUGCUAACGUUUUCCAAAUGGUUGCUAGGCAGUUGCUAAGUGGUUGCUAGGCAGUUGCUAACGUUUUCCAGGUGGUUGCUAAGUGGUUGCUAGGCAGUUGCUAACGUAUUCCAGGUGGUUGCUAGGCAGUUGCUAAGUGGUUGCUAUGCAGUUGCUAACGUUUUCCAAGUGGUUGCUAGGCAGUUGCUAAGUGGUUGCUAGGCAGUUGCUAACGUUUUCCAGGUGGUUGCUAAGUGGUUGCUAGGCAGUUGCUAACGUUUUCCAGGUGGUUGCUAGGCAGUUGCUAAGUGGUUGCUAGGCAGUUGCUAACGUUUUCCAAGUGGUUGCUAGGCAGUUGCUAAGUGGUUGCUAGGCAGUUGCUAACGUUUUCCAGGUGGUUGCUAAGGUGUUGCUAAGUGGUUGCUAGGCAGUUGCUAACGUUUUCCAGGUGGUUGCUAAGGUGGUUGCUAAGCAGUUAUUAGGUGGUUGCUAAGCCCUGGCUGGGGUGCCAGGGUGUCCAAACUUUUGACUGAUAGCUGCUCCAUACAGCAGCUCCUCCAUACACUCACAGUACUGGAGGAGCAGGGGAGAGAAGGGGUUCCGUGCGCAGAGCUGCUCGUGUGUGAGAUGGAACUCUGGGCCCCCCAUUCAUUUCAAUGGGAAAACUUCGUACGACAUUUGUACGAAAACCGUACAACGUAUCGUCGAAACGUUAAAAUUUUCGGAAAGAACGCGGUAAGUUCUAUAGACCGUCCGAUUUUUGUCUUUGUAUGUCAAAAAUUGUUACCUACACAAACGUUCAAAGUUGUCCCCCAUUCAUUUCCUAUGGGAAAAAAAAGCGUACGUUUACGAAGUUUUUACGAAAACCGUACGAUGUAUCGCUUAAAAAAGCACAAGCAACCUAUUCGGGUAUAGGUCCUACGAUACUGCAAAGUUUUGUGGUUCUACGUCAAAAGCCCUAGGAGGAGAUAGUGAUUAAAUUUUGCGAAUAGAAUAAUAAUAAUAAGAAUAAGAUUACGAAGAACAAUAAGUUGGCUUUUCCAAGCCAACUUAAUAAAUAACACUGCUUUAUUACCAGGCUACUAGCGGUGGUGUGUAGGUGACGCUGCUGGGCUGAUGUGAUGAUAGCAGUGGAGCGCUAAAGUUCAGGAGCAGCUGCUGAUUAACUAGUUAAUUUAAGGUCGUUGUAUUUCUUCAGAAAGGGGGCAGGAGGUGGAGAAAUUAAUUCAUAUGGUCCAUUCCUUAAUUCCUCUGUGAUGAGGAGCUGAAAUUAGCUCUGAUUAGCUUAUUGUAUUUUUCCGUUCCGCCUUAAAUGCUGCAGCCCGCUGCCACCUGUAGCGUUAUUUAAGGUGGAACUGGAAAGUUAGCUAGUUAGCUAGCUAACAGUUACUGAAACUAACUACUAGCGAUCUUUUUUAUGCUUGUUAUGAAGCAUUCUGCCAUAAAACAUUAAAACUACACGUUAAUCUAAUGUAAUAUAGUGCUUGUUCUGCCAUCUUACCGGUGAUUCUCAAACACCUACGCUCUGUGUGUCUGGAAGAUCUCCGUUUGAAAGGACAAGCGCUAUCCCCAGGGUUGCCAGGUCCAACAAAAAUACCCAGCCCAAAAUCAGUCUAAAACCCGCCCCUCAGAAUCGAUUUUGGGACAUUUUAAAUCGAUUCUGAAUCGUAGUAAAUGAGAAUCAAGAUUCUUAUGUGAAUCGAUUUUUUGGCACACCUC